CCCCUAGAUGUUCUGGGCCGCACGUGCGCUACACUGAACAGUUCAACAAGUCUUAACCUUGGCCGAUAGGUCUGGGUAAUCUUUGAACGCUGUUCGUGAUUGGGAUAGACCUUUGCAAUUAUGGGUCUUCAACGAGGAAUUCCUAGUAAACGCAAGUCAUCAGAUCGCGUUGAUUACGUCCCUGCCCUUUGUACACACCGCCCGUCGCACCUACCGAUUGAAUGGUCCGGUGAAAUCUCGGGACGGCGGCUCGGUCGCUUGCGUCCGACUGCUGAAACUUGAUUAAACCAUAUCAUUUAGAGGAAGGUGAAGUCGUAACA
Molecule: ribosomal RNA, 320 nt
Filed under: uncultured eukaryote
Lineage: Eukaryota
Description: partial 18S ribosomal RNA
Rfam family: Eukaryotic small subunit ribosomal RNA
Source: RNAcentral